Molecule: ribosomal RNA, 979 nt
Filed under: uncultured bacterium
Lineage: Bacteria
Description: bacterial SSU rRNA
Rfam family: Bacterial small subunit ribosomal RNA
Source: RNAcentral
GUUGUUAACCGCUUUUCCCCGGGAAGAAUAACCCCGACGCGUCGGGGGAUGCCGGUACCGGGGGAAUAAGGAUCGGCUAACUCCGUGCCAGCAGCCGCGGUAAUACGGAGGAUCCGAGCGUUAUCCGGAUUUACUGGGUUUAAAGGGUGCGUAGGCGGCCCUGCAAGUCAGCGGUGAAAUGUGGCGGCUCAACCGUUUCGCUGCCGCUGAUACUGUGGGGCUUGGAUGCGGUCGAGGCGGGUGGAAUUCGUGGUGUAGCGGUGAAAUGCAUAGAUAUCACGAGGAACGCCGAUAGCGAAGGCAGCUCGCCGGGCCGCGAUCGACGCUGAGGCACGAAAGCGUGGGGAUCAAACAGGAUUAGAUACCCUGGUAGUCCACGCCGUAAACGAUGAUGGCUGGGUGUGCGCCCGCGAGGGCGCGUGCCUGAGGGAAACCAUUAAGCCAUCCACCUGGGGAGUACGGCCGCAAGGCUGAAACUCAAAGGAAUUGACGGGGGCCCGCACAAGCGGAGGAACAUGUGGUUUAAUUCGAUGAUACGCGAGGAACCUUACCUGGGCUCGAACGCUUCUGGAAUCACGCCGAAAGGCGUGAGCCGGCAACGGCCGGGAGCGAGGUGCUGCAUGGUUGUCGUCAGCUCGUGCCGUGAGGUGUCGGGUUAAGUCCCAUAACGAGCGCAACCCCUACCGCCAGUUGCCAGCGGGUGAAGCCGGGGACUCUGACGGGACUGCCGGCGUAAGCCGAGAGGAAGGCGGGGAUGAUGUCAAAUCAGCACGGCCCUUACGUCCAGGGCUACACACGUGUUACAAUGGCCGGUACAGAGGGAGGCGACCCCGCGAGGGGGAGCGGAUCCCGAAAGCCGGUCGUAGUUCGGAUCGGGGUCUGGAACCCGACCCCGUGAAGCCGGAUUCGCUAGUAAUCGCGCAUCAGCCAUGGCGCGGUGAAUAAGUUCCCGGGCCUUGUACUCACCGCCCGUCAAGCC